RNAcentral lists this ribosomal RNA (1181 nucleotides) under Escherichia coli. Its description in RNAcentral is "bacterial SSU rRNA". It matches the Rfam family "Bacterial small subunit ribosomal RNA", at positions 34 to 1160 of the family's 1533-position model. The record is from RNAcentral. Lineage: Bacteria; Pseudomonadati; Pseudomonadota; Gammaproteobacteria; Enterobacterales; Enterobacteriaceae.
CGGAAUUGCGGCAGCUACACAUGCAGUCGAACGGUAACAGGAAGAAGCUUGCUUCUUUGCUGACGAGUGGCGGACGGGUGAGUAAUGUCUGGGAAACUGCCUGAUGGAGGGGGAUAACUACUGGAAACGGUAGCUAAUACCGCAUAACGUCGCAAGACCAAAGAGGGGGACCUUCGGGCCUCUUGCCAUCGGAUGUGCCCAGAUGGGAUUAGCUUGUAGGUGGGGUAACGGCUCACCUAGGCGACGAUCCCUAGCUGGUCUGAGAGGAUGACCAGCCACACUGGAACUGAGACACGGUCCAGACUCCUACGGGAGGCAGCAGUGGGGAAUAUUGCACAAUGGGCGCAAGCCUGAUGCAGCCAUGCCGCGUGUAUGAAGAAGGCCUUCGGGUUGUAAAGUACUUUCAGCGGGGAGGAAGGGAGUAAAGUUAAUACCUUUGCUCAUUGACGUUACCCGCAGAAGAAGCACCGGCUAACUCCGUGCCAGCAGCCGCGGUAAUACGGAGGGUGCAAGCGUUAAUCGGAAUUACUGGGCGUAAAGCGCACGCAGGCGGUUUGUUAAGUCAGAUGUGAAAUCCCCGGGCUCAACCUGGGAACUGCAUCUGAUACUGGCAAGCUUGAGUCUCGUAGAGGGGGGUAGAAUUCCAGGUGUAGCGGUGAAAUGCGUAGAGAUCUGGAGGAAUACCGGUGGCGAAGGCGGCCCCCUGGACGAAGACUGACGCUCAGGUGCGAAAGCGUGGGGAGCAAACAGGAUUAGAUACCCUGGUAGUCCACGCCGUAAACGAUGUCGACUUUGGAGGUUGUGCCCUUUGAGGCGUGGUCUUCCGGAGCUAACGCGUUAAGUCGACCGCCUGGGGGAGUACGGCCCGCAAGGUUAAAACUCAAAUGAAAUUGACGGGGGGCCCGCACAAGCGGGGGAACCAUGGUGGUUUUAUUUCGAUGCCACGCGAAAAACCUUUACCUGGGUCUUGACAUUCCACAGAAAUUUUUCAAAAAAAUGAAAAUGGUGCCCUUCGGGAACCGGUGAAGACAUGUGCCUGCAUGGGCUGUCCGUCCGCCUCGUGGUUGUGGAAAAUGGUUGGGGUUAAAGUCCCCGCCAACGGAGGGGCCACCCCUUUAUUCCUUUUGUUUGCCAACGGGUCCCGGGCCGGGGAAACUCCAAAAGGAAAACUGCCCAGUUGA